This 85-nucleotide transfer RNA is filed under the name Felis catus (domestic cat). It matches the Rfam family "tRNA". From Rfam's summary of the family: Transfer RNA (tRNA) molecules are approximately 80 nucleotides in length. Their secondary structure includes four short double-helical elements and three loops (D, anti-codon, and T loops). The record is from Rfam by way of RNAcentral. Lineage: Eukaryota; Metazoa; Chordata; Mammalia; Carnivora; Felidae.
GCCUGGGUGGCUCAGUCGGUUGAGCUUCUGACUUCAGCCCAGGUCAUGAUCUCGUGGUCCGUGGGUUCGAGCCCCGCAUCGGGCU